Molecule: small nuclear RNA, 196 nt
Organism: Papaver somniferum (opium poppy)
Lineage: Eukaryota; Viridiplantae; Streptophyta; Magnoliopsida; Ranunculales; Papaveraceae
Product: U2 spliceosomal RNA
Exons: 1
Source: RefSeq, a predicted model, not a curated record
ACACCUUUUUCAGCCUUUUUGGCUUACAUCAAUUGUAGUAUCAUAUGAGUUUAAUAUCUGAUAUGUGGCAUAUUGGAUCACACGAUUGUAAUUCCGUUUUUUUUCAUGGGGAGGUCCCGUUACAGUAGUAGCUUACUGUUGAGGUCCUCAACUGUCACUGUUAAGCAACAGCAGUAGCUUACUGUUGCUCCUCUAC